UAUUCUGCCCCAUGGGGAAGGAUGAGAAGGUUCGACUCGAGCGAAGCGAGAGAACGUUGCCGCAGGCAACGGCCCGAAGGGCGAAGCGCUUUAGCGCCGAGUAAUCCUUCCCCCACCACUG
RNAcentral lists this small RNA (121 nucleotides) under Klebsiella pneumoniae. RNAcentral's name for it is "RtT sRNA". It matches the Rfam family "RtT RNA". Rfam says of the family: This family represents a bacterial cis-regulatory element known as RtT RNA. Lineage: Bacteria; Pseudomonadati; Pseudomonadota; Gammaproteobacteria; Enterobacterales; Enterobacteriaceae. The record is from RNAcentral.